CCUACGGGGCGCAGCAGUGGGGAAUAUUGGACAAUGGGCGAAAGCCUGAUCCAGCCAUGCCGCGUGUGUGAAGAAGGCCUUCGGGUUGUAAAGCACUUUCAGUGGGGAAGAAAGCCUUGGGGCUAAUACCCUCGAGGAAGGACAUCACCCACAGAAGAAGCACCGGCUAACUCCGUGCCAGCAGCCGCGGUAAUACGGAGGGUGCGAGCGUUAAUCGGAAUUACUGGGCGUAAAGCGCACGUAGGCGGUCUGAUAAGCCGGUUGUGAAAGCCCCGGGCUCAACCUGGGAACGGCAUCCGGAACUGUCAGGCUAGAGUGCAGGAGAGGAAGGUAGAAUUCCCGGUGUAGCGGUGAAAUGCGUAGAGAUCGGGAGGAAUACCAGUGGCGAAGGCGGCCUUCUGGACUGACACUGACGCUGAGGUGCGAAAGCGUGGGUAGCAAACAGGAUUAGAUACCCGGGUAGUC
Molecule: ribosomal RNA, 465 nt
Filed under: Vreelandella stevensii
Lineage: Bacteria; Pseudomonadati; Pseudomonadota; Gammaproteobacteria; Oceanospirillales; Halomonadaceae
Description: partial 16S ribosomal RNA
Rfam family: Bacterial small subunit ribosomal RNA
Source: RNAcentral